RNAcentral lists this small RNA (1334 nucleotides) under Arabidopsis thaliana (thale cress). RNAcentral describes it as "ATSL090690". Lineage: Eukaryota; Viridiplantae; Streptophyta; Magnoliopsida; Brassicales; Brassicaceae. The record is from RNAcentral.
AGUCAAGAUGAUCUAGCGGAUCCUCCAUUGGCAGGCCAUGAAACUUGUUCCCCUGAACCAUUGCAAUGAGAUCGCUUUAGAUCUCAAAGUUGUUGUUUUGUAUUGGAGGUGGAACAAUUCCAUGACGGUGGUUGUGGUUGUGAGGGAAGUCACCAGCACCAAUGUUGGUAGGUUGCUCUUGCUCAUCUACAAUGUCAGCCAUUGUGUCGGUUUCUGUCUGUUCUAUCAGUUGGCGAGCAAUACGGUCGAUGUUAUCGUUGAAUAGGAGGUUCUGAUUUCCUUGUGAUCGUGUAUGUAUGGCAACGGCGCCAAAUUGAUAGUAGGAUUUUAGUCAAUUAAUCCUAAAACACUAUCCUGUCGUUGUAGUAUUUUAGGAUGUCAAUCCAAUCCGGUGUGAUGCAAACAGAUGAGAUAUGAUUAGAAAGCUCUAAGUCAAUCCAAGCAGAAAGUUGGUUGGUUUUAACAGUCCUAGUAUGCAAUAACAGAAAUGAAAUGAAACUAAAAGCAGAAAUGGCAAUAGCAGGCAGGUGAAUAACAAAGCAGAAAUGAUAACAGGCAAUCAAAUGGAUAAACGAUUCCUAAGGAUGGGGUUAUCGAAUAGUGUGGUCUCAUUAAUCUAUUUAGGCGGUUGGCAAAACUUCAUAGAAGCUAUCCCUAGACAACAAGUUUAACAACAGAUUAAUUCACUCCCGUGAUAGAAAUCCUCAAGCAAAGCUAGACACUGACCUAAAUCCCUUUAGCGAUCUCUAACUAAGCAGGCAUUAUCGAAUCAACAUGUUAAAGCCAAUCCCCUAUCUACAGCCAAUCCCUUGGGGUAGAGUCAGAUAUCUCUGGAAUUAAUAGGAUCCAACGCCCAUUAAACGCCUUCUGAGCGCUGGACAUCUGGACUCAUAUUCCACAUUAGCCAGUGAAACAAGGAAUAAGCGCAACUAAUCCAAAAGGGAUUCUAGUAUUCUAAACUCAACCACCUAAAACGACCAAGUAAACCACAACUAAUUUAUCCCAUCCUCAGAAAUACAGUUCACUACUCAGACAUAAUCAAAGACAAUAGCAAAGCAACGAUUGAAAACAUGAUAACAGAAAUGAUGAAAGACUUAGACGAAAACUGAAUAUCAAAUACUUGAAAGUAAAAAUACAAAGUCGCAGGAGAAACACUGCGGCUAUCAAAGUUGCGAAAAUGUAAAAGCGAGAUAAUAACGGAUAAUACCGGAUGCCCUAGGGAAAACCCUAAGAGGCAGUUUAUAUAGGCGAGAAAUGAAACAAAUAAGAAAACUAAAUAUAUAGCGAAUCUUCACGUCAUGAUCCUACGACCGAAUGUGUCAUUGGCAUCUGAC